UUCUCUCUCUCUCUCUCUCUCUGCCUUAUCAUCUUCUUCUUUCCUUUCUCUUUCACUCAAACCCCACCACCACCAACUUUCUUCAUUCUUCUUCCCACUAUCACUAAUCUUUACCCAACCUCUUCUCACUACCACUCUACCAUCGGAGCCUCACUGUCGGCGCCCUACCUUCUCUCCGUCCUGCAAUCUCCGGCGACCAGCAUUUUUUUUCGGCGGAGCUUCUUUCUUUCUCUUCACUAAUUCAAGGUGCACUGCUGCCGGUAGGGCAUUUGAAGAAGGUGAGACUAGGGGAGACUAAAAGAAACAGAAGGUGUAGUGGGAAGAGUCCAGCUCAAGUAGAAAGUGAAAACAUCAAAACUUUUGGAUUUUAUGAGGCUUUCAAGCCUUUUGUCAGCAACAUUAAGAACACGUUGAUCAUCAUUUUAAAACUUGCCUUGAAGUUCAUUCCAAUUUUGAUCAUCUAUACCGAAAUUGAGUUUUAGAA
Camellia sinensis is the source of this 484-nucleotide long non-coding RNA. RefSeq lists it as uncharacterized. Lineage: Eukaryota; Viridiplantae; Streptophyta; Magnoliopsida; Ericales; Theaceae. The record is from RefSeq and is a predicted model, not a curated record.